RNAcentral lists this unclassified non-coding RNA (203 nucleotides) under Hevea brasiliensis (rubber tree). Lineage: Eukaryota; Viridiplantae; Streptophyta; Magnoliopsida; Malpighiales; Euphorbiaceae. The record is from RNAcentral.
UAGGAUGCUUAAUUUACCACAGCUACAUUUGAAUUUUCAUCAUAAAUUCAGAACACAAACAGGUCCUGAAGACUUUUUUUAACUACCCUUUUUUUUCUUCUCUCUUGUGUACAAGUCAUAAAUGCAAGAUACAGCUAAACAUAGACAUAGAGAGGGAUGUAAAUCUGAGAUCUUAAUUCUCAAGUUAGCAUUGUAUUUUGGGG